UAUUGGUCAAUGGGCGGGAGCCUGAACCAGCCAAGUUGCGUGAGGGAAGACGGUCCUAUGGAUUGUAAACCUCUUUAGGCGGGGAGCAAUGCCGGGCACGCGUGCCCGGAGGGAGAGUACCCGCAGAAUAAGCAUAGGCUAACCCCGUGCCAGCAGCCGCGGUACUACGGAGGAUGCGAGCGUUAUCCGGAUUUAUUGGGUUUAAAGGGAGCGUAGGCGGAGUCUUAAGUCAGCGGUAAAAUGUCCGGGCUCAACCCGGGCCGGCCGUUGAAACUGGGGGUCUUGAGUGGGCGAGAAGUAUGCGGAAUGCGUGGUGUAGCGGUGAAAUGCAUAGAUAUCACGCAGAACUCCGAUUGCGAAGGCAGCAUACCGGCGCCCUACUGAUGCUGAGGCACGAAAGCGUGGGGAUCGAACAGG
This 417-nucleotide ribosomal RNA is filed under the name uncultured bacterium. RNAcentral's name for it is "bacterial SSU rRNA". It matches the Rfam family "Bacterial small subunit ribosomal RNA", at positions 362 to 776 of the family's 1533-position model. The record is from RNAcentral.